Clostridium sp. CAG:964 is the source of this 82-nucleotide transfer RNA. It matches the Rfam family "tRNA". Rfam says of the family: Transfer RNA (tRNA) molecules are approximately 80 nucleotides in length. Their secondary structure includes four short double-helical elements and three loops (D, anti-codon, and T loops). Further hydrogen bonds mediate the characteristic L-shaped molecular structure. tRNAs have two regions of fundamental functional importance: the anti-codon, which is responsible for specific mRNA codon recognition, and the 3' end, to which the tRNAs corresponding amino acid is attached (by aminoacyl-tRNA synthetases). tRNAs cope with the degeneracy of the genetic code in two manners: having more than one tRNA (with a specific anti-codon) for a particular amino acid; and 'wobble' base-pairing, i.e. permitting non-standard base-pairing at the 3rd anti-codon position. The record is from Rfam. Lineage: Bacteria; Bacillati; Bacillota; Clostridia; Eubacteriales; Clostridiaceae.
GGGAGAUUUCCCGAGUGGCCAAAGGGGACAGACUGUAAAUCUGCUGGCUAAGCCUUCGGUGGUUCGAAUCCACCAUCUCCCA